AACAGGAUUAGAUACCCUGGUAGUCCACGCCGUAAACGAUGUCGACUUGGAGGUUGUGCCCUUGAGGUGUGGCUUCCGGAGCUAACGCGUUAAGUCGACCGCCUGGGGAGUAUGGCCGCAAGGUUAAAACUCAAAUGAAUUGACGGGGGCCCGCACAAGCGGUGGAGCAUGUGGUUUAAUUCGAUGCAACGCGAAGAACCUUACCUGGUCUUGACAUCCACGGAAGUUUUCAGAGAUGAGAAUGUGCCUUCGGGAACCGUGAGACAGGUGCUGCAUGGCUGUCGUCAGCUCGUGUUGUGAAAUGUUGGGUUAAGUCCCGCAACGAGCGCAACCCUUAUCCUUUGUUGCCAGCGGUCCGGCCGGGAACUCAAAGGAGACUGCCAGUGAUAAACUGGAGGAAGGUGGGGAUGACGUCAAGUCAUCAUGGCCCUUACGACCAGGGCUACACACGUGCUACAAUGGCGCAUACAAAGAGAAGCGACCUCGCGAGAGCAAGCGGACCUCAUAAAGUGCGUCGUAGUCCGGAUUGGAGUCUGCAACUCGACUCCAUGAAGUCGGAAUCGCUAGUAAUCGUGGAUCAGAAUGCCACGGUGAAUACGUUCCCGGGCCUUGUACACACCGCCCGUCACACCAUGGGAGUGGGUUGCAAAAGAAGUAGGUAGCUUAACCUUCGGGAGGGCGCUUACCACUUUGUGAUUCAUGACUGGGGUGAAGUCGUAACAAGGUAACC
Molecule: ribosomal RNA, 730 nt
Filed under: uncultured bacterium
Lineage: Bacteria
Description: bacterial SSU rRNA
Rfam family: Bacterial small subunit ribosomal RNA
Source: RNAcentral